This 253-nucleotide ribosomal RNA is filed under the name uncultured bacterium. RNAcentral describes it as "partial 16S ribosomal RNA". It matches the Rfam family "Bacterial small subunit ribosomal RNA", at positions 524 to 776 of the family's 1533-position model. The record is from RNAcentral.
UACGGGGGGAGCAAGCGUUGUUCGGACUUACUGGGCGUAAAGGGCGCGUAGGCGGCGUGACAAGUCACUUGUGAAAUCUCCGGGCUUAACCCGGAGCGGUCAAGUGAUACUGUCGUGCUAGAGUGCGGAAGGGGCUACUGGAAUUCUCGGUGUAGCGGUGAAAUGCGUAGAUAUCGAGAGGAACACCUGCGGCGAAGGCGGGUAGCUGGGCCGACACUGACGCUGAUGCGCGAAAGCCAGGGGAGCGAACGGG